AUAACUAUGUCUCAAUUAUGUGCUGAACAUCUUAGGUCAUUCUUUCUUGACUGGAUUCCUUGUUUGCUUUUUCCCUUGCUUGCACACUUGUAUUUUUAGUUGCAAAGAGAAACCUGAGCAUAUUUUCAUAAUCUAGAAUCCUCUCAAGACAGGAUACUUAAUUCUCUGAUUCUGCAAACAAUUAUUCAGACCAAAACAAAGCAGUUUUUGCUUUGAGAUUCUGACUAGAAAUGAUUAUUGGUCAGAUAUUCUAUUCCAAAGUCCCAGUGUUCUUAAUAAAAAAAUAAAGAUAUUUAUGAUGUUUCUGAUGUGUGAUGAGAUACUCAAGGUAUUAUGUGUUAAUAUAGUGUUCUUCACCAAAUUAUUUUGAUAUUAGAUCUGCCUAGGAAUUUGUGCCAAGUAGAGGACAAAGGAAAUAGGCAAUUAUUUUAUAUAUUUUCCAGUUACACGUGACUGAAUUUGACGGAAUAGAUGACCUAGAGGUUAAAACAUUUAAAGCACUUCAAUCCCAAUUCUCUUAUUAUUAUUUUUUACAUUGAUCUUGUUGAAAUUUGGAGGAGAGCUGUGAACACUGUAGGUCUGCAGGCUUUUGAAUAGAAUCUGAAGCUAUGUUAAAAAAGACUCUUUGAAUCCAGUUAAAACAGUUACAUCUAACUGUUCACUGAUUCCCCUUCAGUGAUAUGCUCAUGGCAAACUGUUUUUCUUUGUGAUUGUGAAUAUUAUUGUCAACAAUGCUUCCUCUGACAGCACAAAAAUUGACUUGCACUUACAAAGAUCAGACAGCUCAUAUAGUUAUUUGGAUUGAGAACACUAAAUCCAGUCAGGUUAAAUCCAACCGUCAAAUUACGAAACACAGGCAUCUGUAGAUCCAGGAGUUCAGCCAAGUUAAAAGUAAACCUUACUUCCCUGCAAACACAAAUGUGGAUUUCAGUGUUGCUCUAGAAGAAGGAAAAAAAAUCAAAUAAUUUGAUGGAUAAAGAAUCUAAGAGACAUCUAGCAGAAUAAAUGGAGAGGUAUAGAUCUCUUCUGUCUGUGAUGGCAAGAUACACAGGAAUGGCGCAAAGCUGCCCCAGGGAAGAUUCGGAUUGAACAUAAGGAAAAAUUUCUUUAUCUUGAGAGUAUUUGAGUUGUCAGGCACCAGACAAAGUGGGCUUCAGAACAGAGCUCUCCAAGAAACAGAAGUCAUUCUUCACCAUCUACUACUGUAGAUGUCCUCUCCAAGAAGACACACUUUAACUUCACAGAACCUAAUGAACCAGUACAAAGCUGAAGGUGGCAUUUGCCUGGAUUGCAUCAUUACUGGUGAUGAGAUGUGGAGUUAGUACUAUAAGCCAGAGUGAAAACGACAGUCUGUGGAGUGGCAACAUGUGAAUUCCCCAUUGAAGAAAAAGUUCAAGGUGCAGAUCUCAGAAGGUAAGGUAAUGUGCAGUGG
Molecule: non-coding RNA, 1432 nt
Organism: Meleagris gallopavo (turkey)
Lineage: Eukaryota; Metazoa; Chordata; Aves; Galliformes; Phasianidae
Source: RefSeq, a predicted model, not a curated record